RNAcentral lists this ribosomal RNA (586 nucleotides) under uncultured bacterium. RNAcentral describes it as "partial 16S ribosomal RNA". It matches the Rfam family "Bacterial small subunit ribosomal RNA", at positions 355 to 1376 of the family's 1533-position model. The record is from RNAcentral.
UGGGGAAUUUUGGACAAUGGGCGCAAGCCUGAUCCAGCCAUGCCGCGUGCGGGAAGAAGGCCUUCGGGUUGUAAACCGCUUUUGUCAGGGAAGAAAUCUUCUGAGUUAAUACCUCGGGAGGAUGACGGUACCUGAAGAAUAAGCACCGGCUAACUACGUGCCAGCAGCCGCGGUAAUACGUAGGGUGCAAGCGUUAAUCGGAAUUACUGGGCGUAAAGCGUGCGCAGGCGGUUUUGUAAGACAGAGGUGAAAUCCCCGGGCUCAACCUGGGAACUGCCUUUGUGACUGCAAGGCUUGAGUGCGGCAGAGGGGGAUGGAAUUCCGCGUGUAGCAGUGAAAUGCGUAGAUAUGCGGAGGAACACCGAUGGCGAAGGCAAUCCCCUGGGCCUGCACUGACGCUCAUGCACGAAAGCGUGGGGAGCAAACAGGAUUAGAUACCCUGGUAGUCCACGCCCUAAACGAUGUCAACUGGUUGUUGGGAAGGUUCCUUCUCAGUAACGUAGCUAACGCGUGAAGUUGACCGCCUGGGGAGUACGGCCGCAAGGUUGAAACUUAAAUGAAUUGACGGGGUCAUAGCUGUUUCCUG